RNAcentral lists this ribosomal RNA (3839 nucleotides) under Drosophila melanogaster (fruit fly). RNAcentral describes it as "eukaryotic LSU rRNA". The stretch from base 576 to 3839 matches the Rfam family "Eukaryotic large subunit ribosomal RNA", at positions 1 to 2748 of the family's 3401-position model. The record is from RNAcentral. Lineage: Eukaryota; Metazoa; Arthropoda; Insecta; Diptera; Drosophilidae.
AAAACUCUAAGCGGUGGAUCACUCGGCUCAUGGGUCGAUGAAGAACGCAGCAAACUGUGCGUCAUCGUGUGAACUGCAGGACACAUGAACAUCGACAUUUUGAACGCAUAUCGCAGUCCAUGCUGUUAUGUACUUUAAUUAAUUUUAUAGUGCUGCUUGGACUACAUAUGGUUGAGGGUUGUAAGACUAUGCUAAUUAAGUUGCUUAUAAAUUUUUAUAAGCAUAUGGUAUAUUAUUGGAUAAAUAUAAUAAUUUUUAUUCAUAAUAUUAAAAAAUAAAUGAAAAACAUUAUCUCACAUUUGAAUGUGAAAAACGAAGAGAAAUAUUUUCUUUUUCAAUCAAAUAAUACUGAGAAAUGUCUAGCAUAAAAAAUUGAAAUAUUUUUCAUCUAGAAUUGUCUCUUAUUAAUGAUUCGGAAAUAGAAAAAUCUUGGUUAUGUUAUUAUUCUUCGUUGGUUCGUUAAAAAUGGAUAAAUAAAAACUUUGCAUACAAGAAUUAAUAAAAAUGUUAUAACGAAUUUAAUUAAAUGUUUUAUCAUUAUAUAUAAAGAAUUUAUGGCAAGAUAAAGUUAUAUACAACCUCAACUCAUAUGGGACUACCCCCUGAAUUUAAGCAUAUUAAUUAGGGGAGGAAAAGAAACUAACAAGGAUUUUCUUAGUAGCGGCGAGCGAAAAGAAAACAGUUCAGCACUAAGUCACUUUGUCUAUAUGGCAAAUGUGAGAUGCAGUGUAUGGAGCGUCAAUAUUCUAGUAUGAGAAAUUAACGAUUUAAGUCCUUCUUAAAUGAGGCCAUUUACCCAUAGAGGGUGCCAGGCCCGUAUAACGUUAAUGAUUACUAGAUGAUGUUUCCAAAGAGUCGUGUUGCUUGAUAGUGCAGCACUAAGUGGGUGGUAAACUCCAUCUAAAACUAAAUAUAACCAUGAGACCGAUAGUAAACAAGUACCGUGAGGGAAAGUUGAAAAGAACUCUGAAUAGAGAGUUAAACAGUACGUGAAACUGCUUAGAGGUUAAGCCCGAUGAACCUGAAUAUCCGUUAUGGAAAAUUCAUCAUUAAAAUUGUAAUAUUUAAAUAAUAUUAUGAGAAUAGUGUGCAUUUUUUCCAUAUAAGGACAUUGUAAUCUAUUAGCAUAUACCAAAUUUAUCAUAAAAUAUAACUUAUAGUUUAUUCCAAUUAAAUUGCUUGCAUUUUAACACAGAAUAAAUGUUAUUAAUUUGAUAAAGUGCUGAUAGAUUUAUAUGAUUACAGUGCGUUAAUUUUUCGGAAUUAUAUAAUGGCAUAAUUAUCAUUGAUUUUUGUGUUUAUUAUAUGCACUUGUAUGAUUAACAAUGCGAAAGAUUCAGGAUACCUUCGGGACCCGUCUUGAAACACGGACCAAGGAGUCUAACAUAUGUGCAAGUUAUUGGGAUAUAAACCUAAUAGCGUAAUUAACUUGACUAAUAAUGGGAUUAGUUUUUUAGCUAUUUAUAGCUAAUUAACACAAUCCCGGGGCGUUCUAUAUAGUUAUGUAUAAUGUAUAUUUAUAUUAUUUAUGCCUCUAACUGGAACGUACCUUGAGCAUAUAUGCUGUGACCCGAAAGAUGGUGAACUAUACUUGAUCAGGUUGAAGUCAGGGGAAACCCUGAUGGAAGACCGAAACAGUUCUGACGUGCAAAUCGAUUGUCAGAAUUGAGUAUAGGGGCGAAAGACCAAUCGAACCAUCUAGUAGCUGGUUCCUUCCGAAGUUUCCCUCAGGAUAGCUGGUGCAUUUUAAUAUUAUAUAAAAUAAUCUUAUCUGGUAAAGCGAAUGAUUAGAGGCCUUAGGGUCGAAACGAUCUUAACCUAUUCUCAAACUUUAAAUGGGUAAGAACCUUAACUUUCUUGAUAUGAAGUUCAAGGUUAUGAUAUAAUGUGCCCAGUGGGCCACUUUUGGUAAGCAGAACUGGCGCUGUGGGAUGAACCAAACGUAAUGUUACGGUGCCCAAAUUAACAACUCAUGCAGAUACCAUGAAAGGCGUUGGUUGCUUAAAACAGCAGGACGGUGAUCAUGGAAGUCGAAAUCCGCUAAGGAGUGUGUAACAACUCACCUGCCGAAGCAACUAGCCCUUAAAAUGGAUGGCGCUUAAGUUGUAUACCUAUACAUUACCGCUAAAGUAGAUGAUUUAUAUUACUUGUGAUAUAAAUUUUGAAACUUUAGUGAGUAGGAAGGUACAAUGGUAUGCGUAGAAGUGUUUGGCGUAAGCCUGCAUGGAGCUGCCAUUGGUACAGAUCUUGGUGGUAGUAGCAAAUAAUCGAAUGAGACCUUGGAGGACUGAAGUGGAGAAGGGUUUCGUGUGAACAGUGGUUGAUCACGAGUUAGUCGGUCCUAAGUUCAAGGCGAAAGCCGAAAAUUUUCAAGUAAAACAAAAAUGCCUAACUAUAUAAACAAAGCGAAUUAUAAUACACUUGAAUAAUUUUGAACGAAAGGGAAUACGGUUCCAAUUCCGUAACCUGUUGAGUAUCCGUUUGUUAUUAAAUAUGGGCCUCGUGCUCAUCCUGGCAACAGGAACGACCAUAAAGAAGCCGUCGAGAGAUAUCGGAAGAGUUUUCUUUUCUGUUUUAUAGCCGUACUACCAUGGAAGUCUUUCGCAGAGAGAUAUGGUAGAUGGGCUAGAAGAGCAUGACAUAUACUGUUGUGUCGAUAUUUUCUCCUCGGACCUUGAAAAUUUAUGGUGGGGACACGCAAACUUCUCAACAGGCCGUACCAAUAUCCGCAGCUGGUCUCCAAGGUGAAGAGUCUCUAGUCGAUAGAAUAAUGUAGGUAAGGGAAGUCGGCAAAUUAGAUCCGUAACUUCGGGAUAAGGAUUGGCUCUGAAGAUUGAGAUAGUCGGGCUUGAUUGGGAAACAAUAACAUGGUUUAUGUGCUCGUUCUGGGUAAAUAGAGUUUCUAGCAUUUAUGUUAGUUACUUGUUCCCCGGAUAGUUUAGUUACGUAGCCAAUUGUGGAACUUUCUUGCUAAAAUUUUUAAGAAUACUAUUUGGGUUAAACCAAUUAGUUCUUAUUAAUUAUAACGAUUAUCAAUUAACAAUCAAUUCAGAACUGGCACGGACUUGGGGAAUCCGACUGUCUAAUUAAAACAAAGCAUUGUGAUGGCCCUAGCGGGUGUUGACACAAUGUGAUUUCUGCCCAGUGCUCUGAAUGUCAAAGUGAAGAAAUUCAAGUAAGCGCGGGUCAACGGCGGGAGUAACUAUGACUCUCUUAAGGUAGCCAAAUGCCUCGUCAUCUAAUUAGUGACGCGCAUGAAUGGAUUAACGAGAUUCCUACUGUCCCUAUCUACUAUCUAGCGAAACCACAGCCAAGGGAACGGGCUUGGAAUAAUUAGCGGGGAAAGAAGACCCUUUUGAGCUUGACUCUAAUCUGGCAGUGUAAGGAGACAUAAGAGGUGUAGAAUAAGUGGGAGAUAUUAGACCUCGGUUUGGUAUCGUCAAUGAAAUACCACUACUCUUAUUGUUUCCUUACUUACUUGAUUAAAUGGAACGUGUAUCAUUUCCUAGCCAUUAUACGGAUAUAUUUAUUAUAUCUUAUGGUAUUGGGUUUUGAUGCAAGCUUCUUGAUCAAAGUAUCACGAGUUUGUUAUAUAAUCGCAAACAAAUUCUUUAAUAAAACGAUGCAUUUAUGUAUUUUUGAUUUGAAAAUUUGGUAUAACUCCAAUUACUCAGGUAUGAUCCAAUUCAAGGACAUUGCCAGGUAGGGAGUUUGACUGGGGCGGUACAUCUCUCAAAUAAUAACGGAGGUGUCCCAAGGCCAGCUCAGUGCGGACAGAAACCACACAUAGAGCAAAAGGGCAAAUGCUGACUUGAUCUCGGUGUUCAGUACACACAGGG